GAUGUUCUUUUUGAAUAAUGAAAUUAUCAUUCAUCAUAUGAUGACUCUGAUGAACUAUUUGAUGAUGGUUGGGUUGACCGAGCCAUCUUCGGACCUGAUCACUCAUUAGGUAGAAUCACUGAGUAGGUUCAUGUUAAUGGUUUGACCUAAUCGAAACUUUUAGUGGAGGCCCAUCACCUACUAAAAUGAAAUUUGGGACUAAAUUAAAUACUAGAAGUUGUUUGGAGAAAUAAUUAGUUGAAAACCUACCCAUAGGUGCAUAUGGAUUGACCGAGCC
This 277-nucleotide long non-coding RNA is filed under the name Elaeis guineensis (African oil palm). RNAcentral describes it as "long non-coding RNA (EGUI_LNC076279)". The record is from RNAcentral. Lineage: Eukaryota; Viridiplantae; Streptophyta; Magnoliopsida; Arecales; Arecaceae.